UACAUAGGUCUCAAGCGUUGUUCGGAUUCAUUGGGCGUAAAGGGUGUGUAGGUGGCGCGCUAAGUCGGGUGUGAAAUUUCGGAGCUUAACUCCGAAACUGCAUUCGAUACUGGCGUGCUUGAGGACUGGAGAGGAGACUGGAAUUCAUGGUGUAGCAGUGAAAUGCGUAGAGAUCAUGAGGAAGACCAGUGGCGAAGGCGGGUCACUGGACAGUUCCUGACACUGAGACACGAAAGCCAGGGGAGCAAACGGG
This 253-nucleotide ribosomal RNA is filed under the name uncultured bacterium. RNAcentral's name for it is "partial 16S ribosomal RNA". It matches the Rfam family "Bacterial small subunit ribosomal RNA", at positions 524 to 776 of the family's 1533-position model. The record is from RNAcentral.